ACGAGAUUCCCACUGUCCCUAUCUACUAUCUAGCGAAACCACAGCCAAGGGAACGGGCUUGGUAGAAUCAGCGGGGAAAGAAGACCCUGUUGAGCUUGACUCUAGUCCGACUUUGUGAAGACACAUGAAGGGUGUAGCAUAGGUGGGAGCGCAAGCGCAAUUGAAAUACCACUACUUUUAUCGUUUCUUUACUUAUUCAGUCCAGCGGAGAGCGGGGCGCAAGCCCCUCGCUUCUGGAGUUAAGCGGCAACCGGCGCUCGUCGUCGGCCGCGAUCCGCUCUGAAGACAGUGUCAGGCGGGGAGUUUGACUGGGGCGGUACAUCUGUCAAAAGGUAACGCAGGUGUCCUAAGGCGAGCUCAGCGAGGACGGAAACCUCGCGUAGAGCAAAAGGGCAAAAGCUCGCUUGAUUUUGAUUUUCAGUACGAAUACAGACCGUGAAAGCGUGGCCUAUCGAUCCUUUUGACUUUAAGAGUUUUAAGCAAGAGGUGUCAGAAAAGUUACCACAGGGAUAACUGGCUUGUGGCAGCCAAGCGUUCAUAGCGACGUUGCUUUUUGAUCCUUC
This 563-nucleotide ribosomal RNA is filed under the name Neohelix solemi. Its description in RNAcentral is "partial large subunit ribosomal RNA". It matches the Rfam family "Eukaryotic large subunit ribosomal RNA", at positions 2327 to 2879 of the family's 3401-position model. Lineage: Eukaryota; Metazoa; Mollusca; Gastropoda; Stylommatophora; Polygyridae. The record is from RNAcentral.